RNAcentral lists this ribosomal RNA (253 nucleotides) under uncultured bacterium. RNAcentral's name for it is "partial 16S ribosomal RNA". It matches the Rfam family "Bacterial small subunit ribosomal RNA", at positions 524 to 776 of the family's 1533-position model. The record is from RNAcentral.
GACGAAGCGUGCGAACGUUGUUCGGAAUCACUGGGCUUAAAGGGCGUGUAGGCGGUUUGUUACGUCAGGUGUGAAAUCCCUCGGCUUAACCGGGGAACUGCGUCUGAUACUGGAUGGCUUGAGUGCGGGAGAGGGAUGCGGAAUUCCAGGUGUAGCGGUGAAAUGCGUAGAUAUCUGGAGGAACACCGGUGGCGAAGGCGGCAUCCUGGACCGAUACUGACGCUGAGGAGCGAAAGCCAGGGGAGCAAACGGG